RNAcentral lists this ribosomal RNA (912 nucleotides) under Pithomyces sp. RNAcentral describes it as "partial large subunit ribosomal RNA". It matches the Rfam family "Eukaryotic large subunit ribosomal RNA", at positions 36 to 964 of the family's 3401-position model. Lineage: Eukaryota; Fungi; Ascomycota; Dothideomycetes; Pleosporales; Astrosphaeriellaceae. The record is from RNAcentral.
UAGCAUAUCAAUAAGCGGAGGAAAAGAAAGCAACAGCGAUAGCCUCAGUAACGGCGAGUGAAGCGGCUACAGCUCAAAUUUGAAAUCUGGCCUCCUUUGGUGGUCCGAGUUGUAAUUUGCAGAGGAUGCUUUGGCAUUGGCGGCGGUCUAAGUUCCUUGGAACAGGACAUCGCAGAGGGUGAGAAUCCCGUACGUGGGCGCCUGCCUUUGCCGUGUAAAGCUCCUUCGACGAGUCGAGUUGUUUGGGAAUGCAGCUCUAAAUGGGAGGUAAAUUUCUCCUAAAGCUAAAUACCGGCCAGAGACCGAUAGCGCACAAGUAGAGUGAUCGAAAGAUGAAAAGUACUUUGGAAAGAGAGUCAAAUAGCACGUGAAAUUGUUGAAAGGGAAGCGCUUGCAGCCAGACUUGCCCGCAGUUGCUCACCUAGGCUUUUGCCUGGGGCACUCUUCUGCGGGCAGGCCAGCAUCAGUUUGGGCGGUCGGAUAAAGGUCUCUGUCAUGUACCACCCUUCGGGGUGGCCUUAUAGGGGAGACGCAAUGCGACCAGCCCGGACUGAGGUCCGCGCAUCUGCUAGGAUGCUGGCGUAAUGGCUGUAAGCGGCCCGUCUUGAAACACGGACCAAGGAGUCUAACAUCUAUGCGAGUGUUUGGGUGUCAAGCCCGGGCGCGUAAUGAAAGUGAACGGAGGUGGGAACCUUUCGGGGUGCACCAUCGACCGAUCCUGAUGUCUUCGGAUGGAUUUGAGUAAGAGCAUAGCUGUUGGGACCCGAAAGAUGGUGAACUAUGCUUGAAUAGGGUGAAGCCAGAGGAAACUCUGGUGGAGGCUCGCAGCGGUUCUGACGUGCAAAUCGAUCGUCAAAUUUGGGCAUAGGGGCGAAAGACUAAUCGAACCAUCUAGUAGCUGGUUCCUGCCGA